UGCGGUAUUUUAACUGUACUAAGGUAGCAUAAUAAUUUGCCUUAUAAAUUGAGGCUAGUAUGAAAGGUUUGACGAAGGUUUACCUGUCUCUUUUUUAUUUAAUAGAAAUUAAUUUUUUAGUGAAAAAGCUUAAAUUCUUCAAAGGGACGAGAAGACCCUAAUGAGCUUAAAUUUUAUUUUAUUAUAUAUAUUUUAUAGUAAAAAAGAAGUUUUAGUUGGGGUGAUUAAGGAAUAAAAAACGAAUGAUGUAACUUCCUUAAAUAUAAAAUUGUUAAAUUAAGUAACCAAUUUAUAUUGCUUAUAAUAGAGUUACCAUAGGGAUAACAGCGUAAUUUAUUUAGAGAGCUCAUAUCAAAAAAUAAGAUUGCGACCUCGAUGUUGGAUUAAAGUAACCUUAAGGUGCAGU
Molecule: ribosomal RNA, 406 nt
Filed under: Sepia officinalis (common cuttlefish)
Lineage: Eukaryota; Metazoa; Mollusca; Cephalopoda; Sepiida; Sepiidae
Description: partial 16S ribosomal RNA
Rfam family: Bacterial large subunit ribosomal RNA
Source: RNAcentral